Molecule: ribosomal RNA, 1064 nt
Filed under: Escherichia coli
Lineage: Bacteria; Pseudomonadati; Pseudomonadota; Gammaproteobacteria; Enterobacterales; Enterobacteriaceae
Description: partial 23S ribosomal RNA
Rfam family: Bacterial large subunit ribosomal RNA
Source: RNAcentral
GGGACACGUGGUAUCCUGUCUGAAUAUGGGGGGACCAUCCUCCAAGGCUAAAUACUCCUGACUGACCGAUAGUGAACCAGUACCGUGAGGGAAAGGCGAAAAGAACCCCGGCGAGGGGAGUGAAAAAGAACCUGAAACCGUGUACGUACAAGCAGUGGGAGCACGCUUAGGCGUGUGACUGCGUACCUUUUGUAUAAUGGGUCAGCGACUUAUAUUCUGUAGCAAGGUUAACCGAAUAGGGGAGCCGAAGGGAAACCGAGUCUUAACUGGGCGUUAAGUUGCAGGGUAUAGACCCGAAACCCGGUGAUCUAGCCAUGGGCAGGUUGAAGGUUGGGUAACACUAACUGGAGGACCGAACCGACUAAUGUUGAAAAAUUAGCGGAUGACUUGUGGCUGGGGGUGAAAGGCCAAUCAAACCGGGAGAUAGCUGGUUCUCCCCGAAAGCUAUUUAGGUAGCGCCUCGUGAAUUCAUCUCCGGGGGUAGAGCACUGUUUCGGCAAGGGGGUCAUCCCGACUUACCAACCCGAUGCAAACUGCGAAUACCGGAGAAUGUUAUCACGGGAGACACACGGCGGGUGCUAACGUCCGUCGUGAAGAGGGAAACAACCCAGACCGCCAGCUAAGGUCCCAAAGUCAUGGUUAAGUGGGAAACGAUGUGGGAAGGCCCAGACAGCCAGGAUGUUGGCUUAGAAGCAGCCAUCAUUUAAAGAAAGCGUAAUAGCUCACUGGUCGAGUCGGCCUGCGCGGAAGAUGUAACGGGGCUAAACCAUGCACCGAAGCUGCGGCAGCGACGCUUAUGCGUUGUUGGGUAGGGGAGCGUUCUGUAAGCCUGCGAAGGUGUGCUGUGAGGCAUGCUGGAGGUAUCAGAAGUGCGAAUGCUGACAUAAGUAACGAUAAAGCGGGUGAAAAGCCCGCUCGCCGGAAGACCAAGGGUUCCUGUCCAACGUUAAUCGGGGCAGGGUGAGUCGACCCCUAAGGCGAGGCCGAAAGGCGUAGUCGAUGGGAAACAGGUUAAUAUUCCUGUACUUGGUGUUACUGCGAAGGGGGGACGGAGAAGGCUAUGU